Molecule: ribosomal RNA, 968 nt
Filed under: uncultured bacterium
Lineage: Bacteria
Description: bacterial SSU rRNA
Rfam family: Bacterial small subunit ribosomal RNA
Source: RNAcentral
GGGGGCGGGUUCCGGAUUAUUGGGCGUAAGAGCUCGUAGGCGGUUUGUCGCGUCUGCCGUGAAAGUCCGGGGCUCAACUCCGGAUCUGCGGUGGGUACGGGCAGACUAGAGUGAUGUAGGGGAGACUGGAAUUCCUGGUGUAGCGGUGAAAUGCGCAGAUAUCAGGAGGAACACCGAUGGCGAAGGCAGGUCUCUGGGCAUUAACUGACGCUGAGGAGCGAAAGCAUGGGGAGCGAACAGGAUUAGAUACCCUGGUAGUCCAUGCCGUAAACGUUGGGCACUAGGUGUGGGGGACAUUCCACGUUUUCCGCGCCGUAGCUAACGCAUUAAGUGCCCCGCCUGGGGAGUACGGCCGCAAGGCUAAAACUCAAAGGAAUUGACGGGGGCCCGCACAAGCGGCGGAGCAUGCGGAUUAAUUCGAUGCAACGCGAAGAACCUUACCAAGGCUUGACAUGGGCCGGACCGGGCUGGAAACAGUCCUUCCCCUUUGGGGCCGGUUCACAGGUGGUGCAUGGUUGUCGUCAGCUCGUGUCGUGAGAUGUUGGGUUAAGUCCCGCAACGAGCGCAACCCUCGUUCCAUGUUGCCAGCGCGUAAUGGCGGGGACUCAUGGGAGACUGCCGGGGUCAACUCGGAGGAAGGUGGGGACGACGUCAAAUCAUCAUGCCCCUUAUGUCUUGGGCUUCACGCAUGCUACAAUGGCCGGUACAAAGGGUUGCGAUACUGUGAGGUGGAGCUAAUCCCAAAAAGCCGGUCUCAGUUCGGAUUGGGGUCUGCAACUCGACCCCAUGAAGUCGGAGUCGCUAGUAAUCGCAGAUCAGCAACGCUGCGGUGAAUACGUUCCCGGGCCUUGUACACACCGCCCGUCAAGUCACGAAAGUUGGUAACACCCGAAGCCGGUGGCCUAACCCCUUGUGGGAGGGAGCUGUCGAAGGUGGGACUGGCGAUUGGGACUAAGUCGUAACAAGGG